RNAcentral lists this ribosomal RNA (1393 nucleotides) under Burkholderia mallei FMH. Its description in RNAcentral is "16S ribosomal RNA". Lineage: Bacteria; Pseudomonadati; Pseudomonadota; Betaproteobacteria; Burkholderiales; Burkholderiaceae. The record is from RNAcentral.
GAUGCCGACGGGGCCGACCGAGAACAGCGGCACGGUCGAUAGCGGCGACGCGUUCAUCGCCGCGCUCCCGUCAACGCGGCCGCGCGGCGGACCGCGAUCGCCCGCGCGGCGAAAAACCCCGCGGAGCCCGCAACGAGCAUGCCGAAGCCCGCCCGCGCCAGCACGACGAGCACCGCCACCGCGAGCGCGACGCGCGCGAACUGCAGCGCGAGCGCCACGCCCGCGCGGCCCGCGACGAACAGCCGGCUGUUCCAGCCGAGCGACACGAAAUGGCACGCGCCGGCGGCGAACCCGAGCGCGAGCCCGAUCGCGGCGGCGAUGCCGUCGAACGACGCGCGCGCGGUUUCCCACAUCUCAAUCAUCGCGAUCUCCAUGCUGUUGAGCUUUCAUCCAGCGCCACGCGAGCCAGAGGCCGAGCGCCGCGCCGAGCAUCAGGAGCGGCGCGGAAAAAAACACCCGCGUCGCGAACAUCCGGUCGAGCCAGCGGCCGAGCGCGAGCGCGGCGAGCGUCGGCGCGACGAUCGUCCAGCCGAGCACGCCGAUCUGCGCGAGCCGCCGGCCGAGCGACGGCUCCGGAUCGCGCGCGCCGCGCGCCGCGCGCGCCGCGGCCGUGUGCGCGGCCCGCUCGACGCGAUCGGCGGCGGGCUUCGGCGCGGCGGGCUCGGCGGCUCGCGCGGCCGGAUGCGUUGCGCCGCCGCGCGCGGCGCGCGAGCCGGGCGACGGGUCGCGCCGCGCGGCGCCGCGUGGGUCAUCCGGCGCGGCGCCGGCGCCGGCGUGCCGCGCGUCGCCGCGCGCGGCAUCGUCGCGCGCCUCGCGCUUCACCUCGGGCGGCCUGCGCUUCAUCAUUCGAGCGUCUCCGGCUUCAGCGGCGCGUGCACGCCGUCCUUCGCGUGCUCGGGCCGCAGAUACGUGAGCAGCCGCCGCACCGCCUGCGCAUGCAGCCGCGUCUCGUCGACGCGCGCGCGGCGCUUCUCGUCGAGCUGCGUCGCGCGCACGCCGCGCACCACCGCCUCGAGCUCGGCGAGCGACUCGCCCAGCACCGCGUCGCGGCACGCGAUCUCGAUGCGCGCGCCGCGCGUCACGCGCAGCACGCCGCCGUCAAGCGCCGCGUAAUGCGUCGCGCCGUCGGCGGUGCGCCAGCGCACGACUGACGCGCGCAGCAGCGUGACGAAAUCGACGUGGCCCGCGCGGAUGCCGAACGCGCCGCUCGCGUCCUCGGCGCGCAGCGACACGAUCGGCAGAUCGUCGACGCACACGCGCGCCGGCGUCGCGAUCGUCACGCGCAGCUCAGCGCCCAUGCCGCGCGCCUUGCGGCUCGGCGGAGCCGGAUGCGGGGUCGGAUGUCGUGCCCGGUCCCGCGCCCGACGCCGCGGCAGCCGCCUCGCGGCGCGCG